AUGCCAAAUAAGCAGAAGAAGACAAAGAUUACUAGAUGUGGUUGCGAAGCUAUGAUAACUGUCAAGCUUAUGCAAGGUGGCAUAUACUCAAUAGUAUAUUUUCAUGAAGAACACACACAUGAAUUUGUCACACCUAGCAAAUAGCAUUUAAUCAAGUCAAAUAGACAAGUUAGUCAGAGGGCCAAGACCACUCUGUUCACAUGCCAUGCAGCUAGCAUUGGCACAUCUGGUGCCUUCCGAUUGCUUCGUAUUGGCGAGGGCGGAUUUGAGUUUGUGGGUUGCACAAAAAGAGACUUGCAGAAUUAUCAUCGUAAUUUGAGAAGUUCAAUCAAGGAUUCAGAUGCUCAGAUGUUCAUUGAUAAUCUCAAGAAAGGGAAGCAAAUCAACCUAGUGUUUUAUUUUAAUUACAUUCUUGAUGACAAAAAUCGUCUAACUCAUGUGUUCUGGGCAGAUGCUACUUGUAGAAAGAACUAUGCUAUAGCAGGAGACGUGGUGUCUUUUGACUCUACAUGUAGCACCAACCAGGAUAAUAUGAUAUUUUGCCCUUUCACAGGGAUAAACCACCAUAGGGGGUCUGUGUUCUAUGGUGCUGCCUUGAUUGUCAAUGAGAAGAUACCAUCAUACAAAUGGGUGUUCCAAACGUUCUUGAAAGCAAUGGAUGGAGUAGCACCCAGACUUAUAGUAACUGAUGAAGAUGCUAGCAUGAAGGCCGCCAUCGAAGAGGUUUUGCCGACAACCAUCCAUAGGUUAUGCAUGUGGCACAUAAUGAAAAAGCUUCCAGAAAAGGUCAGUCCUUCUUUGAGAGAAGAUGAAGAUUUCUAUAAGGUUGUGAAUGCGUGUGUAUGGGGCUCUGAAAAUCCAACUGAAUUUGAGACAAAUUGGUCUUCUAUGAUUUCUAAAUUUGCUUUAGAGAACAAUGAGUGGUUUUCUCAUAGAUAUGAAAUCCAUGAGUCAUGGAUACCGGCGUACUUCAGGGGUGUAUUCAUGGCUGAGAUUUUGAGAACCAGUUCACGAUCAGAGAGUGCUAACUCAUUUUUCAACCAUUUUAUUGGUUACAAGCAUGCUUUGGUGGAGUUUUGGAUUAGGAUUGGUACAACCAUAGAAGAGCAACGUCAGAAUGAACUUAAGGCUGACCAUGAAUGUUUUGAUUCGAUGCCUGAAUUGGUAACAUCAUGGGGCAUUGAGAAGCAUGCAAGUCUAUACUUCACCCAUGAAGUCUUCCGAGCUUUUCAAAAGGAGGUACUUGCAGCUAGAGAUCAUUGCUUGAUUGAAAGCAUCUCACAGGAUGGUGAUGUCAAAACCAUGGUUAUAGGUGGUAAUUAUGGCAAGGCUAGAGAAGUACAAUUCAACACAUCAUCCACGAGUGCUCACUGCUCCUGCAUGUUGUUUGAGACACGUGGAAUUCCAUGUCGACAUAUCAUCUUGGUUUUGAGAGGUGCCAAGCUCAAUGAGCUCCCUAUCCAUUUUAUUUUGGAUAGGUGGAAAAAAGUGAACAGGAAGGCUUUAUAUGAUAGCAGUGGCAACUUGCUUGAGGAGAACGCGAAGUUGAUGUCAAUCAUCCUAACAGGCAGGAAGAAUUUGAGGCACAUAUUGGUUGUAGUAUGCCUACUCAAAUUGACAUUCAUCCACCAACUGACGUUCGUAUGAAGGGGAGAUGCAAAAGAAUUAGGGGUCACUCAGAUAAGGGGCACAACAAAAUAA
This 1701-nucleotide ribosomal RNA is filed under the name Triticum aestivum (bread wheat). Its description in RNAcentral is "partial small subunit ribosomal RNA". Lineage: Eukaryota; Viridiplantae; Streptophyta; Magnoliopsida; Poales; Poaceae. The record is from RNAcentral.